RNAcentral lists this long non-coding RNA (2042 nucleotides) under Canis lupus familiaris (dog). RNAcentral describes it as "lncRNA (ENSCAFG00805017312.1, ENSCAFG00845026514.1)". Lineage: Eukaryota; Metazoa; Chordata; Mammalia; Carnivora; Canidae. The record is from RNAcentral.
AACAUGAUUUCUGCCAAGAGCUUACAACCUAAAAUAGAGAAAUAAAAAUCCCAGGUAUAAGAUGGAUAAAGUGUGGCAGGAAGGAAAAAAGGUAGAAUGAAUAAUAUGCUGCACUUCAUCACCUACACAAAACCUUAGCAUGUUGUACAAUACCUUUUCAAGGCACUUAAUUAAUAUUAGUUAAAAAAAACAAAUGAAUGAAUGACUUGGAAAUAUGACUUCUUAGUCAUUUAUCAGUAGCAGAGUCCAUUGACAUUAAUAGAGCUUCUUUGAAUUAUUCUUGUCUCUGGCUAUGUUUAGAUUAUUGACAAUUCCUUAUACAUCUAGUUCUGUAAGUACAAAGUAUGCUAUUAUAUGUUGCAUCAAAAAUAUAUUCUUUCUAAACUAGUAUACACGCAUCCUUAAACACAGCAAACAAUAGCAAUAAUACAUUUCUCUGUAUGCUUCAAUUCAUGAAACUACCAGUGAUGAAAAGGAUGGUAUUUUGAUAAUAGCAUUACAAUGUGGUAUCUGUGGGUGGAUCUAUGACUCAGAGAUUGGAUUUUCUUCUCACCCAAGGUGCUUUUGAUAAGAUCUCUUAAAAUGCAAUAACUUUCUCAUUUCAACUAAUUAUUUUUCUCUGUAAUGUACUAAGAACCCACUCUUUUCUCAUGCUAAGUAUUAAAGUUGGGCCAUCCAGAAUAAUAUUCUUGAAAAAAAAAAUCUGAAAGAAAAUUUGGAAGGGGAGAAAGUGUGAAAUAGAAAAGGAUUUUCCAACCCUGUAAAACAGUUCCAACCUUUUAGCAGGAGCAUAUAAUGACUUAAUAAUAAUAAUUUAACAAUAAUCCAUUUUCCAAGGCAUGUUCACAAAUCUAACCUAGCCUGUCACAUGAAACCUGUGAAGGAGAGACCAAAUGAUUCGCCUAAAAUCAAAGUGGUAGGGUGCCAUCUCAAACCCAAAUCUCCAUUGUUCUUUUCACUUAUGUCUGAGUCUUCAAGUCAUUGUCAUUACAAAAUUAUGCACUGUCAUCACAAAAUUAUACAUCUAGUAGAUAAGAGCUCUAUAUCAAGAGUCUAGAUGAAAAUCUUAAUUUUGAACUUUUUCUCAUAUUACUUUUCCUCUGCUGCCAAAAAGAAAAGUUAUACUUUUAUUUUCUCAAUUUGGUAAGUAACCAAACUUCUUACAACUUCAAAGCAAUAAAAUUUCAUUGGCCACCCUAAGCAAUAAAAUAAAUAGUGACUUGCUUUUCUACUUUUGAUUGAAAUGAGACUUAUAUAAACAAGAAGUUUUAUGAGAUCUGGAAGUAAACAUGUAUUUUUCUUGUACUAUUUGUCUCCCCAUGAUCCACAACUUUGUGCUAAUUUUCAAUGCUACAAUGAAUCACAGUCCAAAAUUAAGGUUUAUCCUAACUACAAAAAAAAAAAAAUGAAAGGAGAUACUUCUCAACUAAAAUUAUAUUUGUUUAUUUAUAGAGUAUGCGACUGUGUAGUACUCAAAAUCUAAUACAGAGAAAACUAUGCUUUAAUGUAAAGCAUAAAAAGCCUAAAUAUUUGUAUAUCAAUUGUUCAAAUGAAAAUGAAAAUGAACUAUAAAACUAAAAAGUUGGAGUAAUUUUUAAAAAUAAAGCCAGAUGAAAAUAAAUAAAUAAAUAAAGCCAGAUGUCAGUCUUAAGAGUGACUUGACUUAUACUAUUUUUAAGUUACGAAACUAAGAAAACUGCUCUCUUUGGGCAAAGUAUUAUAACCAUGGCAUAGUAGUUUUUAGAAAAUUGGGUGCCAGUCCUGGAUCCACUACUAAUAAGUACUUUAUGGGCUCAGUCUUAGCAUCCUCAUUUGCAAAAUAGUAGGUUGGGACUAAGAUAUUUUUCAUAUCUGAUGUUCUACCAUUCUAAAUUCCUUUGCAAGGACUUCUAACUACUGUUAGAACCACAUUUUUAUUGAUUUCUCAAUGUUGCAUAUUUUAAUGAGAGAUGUUUCCAAAUAGUGAAAUACAUCACAUCAAAUGUCUGAAUUGCACUAAGUUUACAAUGCACUUUUGACAUACAACAUCUUGUUUAGUCUAA